UGCCAGCCGCCGCGGUAAUACGGAGGGUGCAAGCGUUAAUCGGAAUUACUGGGCGUAAAGAGUACGUAGGCGGCUUUACAAGUCGGGUGUGAAAGCCCUGAGCUUAACUCAGGAACUGCAUUCGAUACUGUAUCGCUAGAGUUUAUUAGAGGAUAGCGGAAUUCCAGGUGUAGCGGUGAAAUGCGUAGAUAUUUGGAGGAACACCAGUGGCGAAGGCGGCUCACUGGCUCGAUACUGACGCUGAGGUACGAAAGUGUGGGGAGCAAACAGGAUUAGAUA
RNAcentral lists this ribosomal RNA (279 nucleotides) under uncultured bacterium. Its description in RNAcentral is "partial 16S ribosomal RNA". It matches the Rfam family "Bacterial small subunit ribosomal RNA", at positions 506 to 784 of the family's 1533-position model. The record is from RNAcentral.